UCCUUCCCUUCUUUCCCUUCAUACCUCAUCAACUAAGAGAUUUGCUGCUAGAGAUUGGGCAGCCGCCGCCGCCACCACCAUCACCACCUUAGUCUACACAAACCCAUUAAAAAUGGCAGCCACCGCUGCCGUUGGCUCUUAUUUCUCCACCGCCGCCACUCCACAGCUCAGCUCCAAGCUCGUCUCCUCCGAUGUCGUCCUCCGAGUCACCUGCGCUCGCCCAUUGCGCAUGCCGACGAUCACCAAUCUCGCAGAGCACUUCUCGAUACCCGUUGCCUUCCAGAAGUGGCGGCUGCUGAGGAUAUCGGCUGCAGUGGCCCAGGAGGAGGCCACUGCUGCGGUCCAGGAGGAGGAGGAGGAGGAGGAGGAGGAGAAAGAGACGAUGGAGGAGAGUGGAAAAGGAGAGGAGGUGGUCGUUGCCGCUCCCGCCCAGCAAAACACCAAGCUGUACUUUGGCAACCUGCCUUAUAGUUGUGACAGUGCCCAAUUGGCUGGGAUCAUCCAAGAGUAUGCAAACCCGGAGCUGGUUGAGGUACUUUAUGAUAGGGAUACUGGACGAAGUCGAGGAUUUGCAUUUGUAACUAUGAGCUCUAUCGAAGAUUGUGAAGCAGUUAUCCAAAAUCUUGAUGGAAGCCAAUACAGUGGGCGUACAAUGAGGGUAAACUUUUCAGACAAACCCAAGCCCAAAGAGCCCUUGUACCCUGAAAGCGAUUACAAGCUCUUCGUGGGGAAUCUAUCUUGGUCGGUUACAUCUGAAAACCUGACCCAGGCGUUUCAGGAAUAUGGUAAUGUGGUAGGAGCUCGAGUUCUUUAUGAUGGAGACACUGGUCGAUCUCGUGGCUAUGGCUUUGUAUGCUACUCAACCAAGGAAGAGAUGGAUGCUGCUCUCCAAUACCUCAAUGGAGCAGAGCUAGAAGGCCGAGCUAUGCGAGUUAGCUUGGCUCUAGGAAAGAAAUCAUAAAAGAAAUCUUGGAUUGAAGAUAUUUGAAGCAAGCUUCCAACUCUGACAUAUAUGGAAGGGAAGAAAUGAUUGAAAGAAUUGCUAUCGCAAUAUAAGAGAUGAUCAUGGAUUGAUAGAAUUGGGAAAGAAAAGGGAAAAUGCAGUGAAAGAAGAAAGGAGUGAUGGAAGACAAUUCCCCACCCUACCUUUUUCUUUAACAAAUUUUUAGCAGCUUAUGGUUACCUUUUGAGUUGUGAGGUGAGCAGAAAUAAUACCUUGAUGGCCAGCCAACUCAUUGAUAGCAUCUUUUGCAGAUAUGUUCCAUACUCAAUUCCAACCAACUAGUCUUUCUUGAUUUUUCAUAUAAGUGGGUACUUUUGUUGAAAUGCAUUGCUUCGG
Molecule: non-coding RNA, 1339 nt
Organism: Elaeis guineensis (African oil palm)
Lineage: Eukaryota; Viridiplantae; Streptophyta; Magnoliopsida; Arecales; Arecaceae
Source: RefSeq, a predicted model, not a curated record